This 13262-nucleotide long non-coding RNA is filed under the name Musa acuminata (dwarf banana). RNAcentral describes it as "long non-coding RNA (MACU_LNC001088)". The record is from RNAcentral. Lineage: Eukaryota; Viridiplantae; Streptophyta; Magnoliopsida; Zingiberales; Musaceae.
GAUGCCACAAGGCAAAGCUUAUAGAUCUAUUUGGGUCCUACGGUUUUGACGCAGCCGUGCUGUCAGUAGAGGGAAAUAUAAUGUGAGCUUGAUGCUUAUGUAAUUCCCAACCCCAUAUUUUUGGUUCUUAUGAGAAGCAAUGAAGGGGCUCUACACCACCACCAUCUUCUUCUUCUUCUUCUUCUUCUUCUUCUUCUUCUUGUAUUGUGGUCUGGAAAGGAAACAGCUUGUUGAAUCAAAAAGUGGGAAUCAUGUGAGUCAGAUGAUGCCCCAUCCUUUUCCAGUGAUUCCUGCUAGACAUUUACACACACAUGAAAACAACUUCUACCUAAAAUUGGAGCAAAGCAAAUCUUCUUCCAUUUGCAGGACCUGCACAGUGCUCGCAUUUAGCUUUUCACUGGACUGAAUCAGAAUCAAGGUAUAACUAGUUGCUGCGUAUUGAUGAAUCAUCUCUAUGAUGAAACCUCACUUCAACCCUGAAUCAUUGUGAUGUUAGGCAACAUGGCUAGUAAUCGCAGACACAGUCAUUGCAGAAGAAACCUUCCAUGGUGUGGUCUGUCGGGGCCUACUUUCUGUAUCGGCAUUGUUCUCAGCUGUGACGUUGAAUCUUAGGCUCACUUUCCUAUGAGAUCUGGAGGUGCAGCUUCUUCUCACCGUUCCAACUCCUCGGUCUGCAUGCUCUGCACCAACUCACCGAUCAACAAUAUUGCUGCAAUGCGUAUGGCGUACACAGUACAGAUUCUAGAUUUACAGAUCUCUUUCCUCGUGGUGGUCCUAUUAUUUAUGGCGAAGUAAGAUCUAGCUGAGCAAAGAUGUAGAUUCCAUCCGAGGCAUACAAGCAAGAUGACAACUGGGCUAAAUUAACAAAGCUCCAAUUGGCCUAAUCUUGAGAAAGGGGAACUCAGUGGAGUUUACAGAACUAUCAUGGGGUGCUUUCAAAGGCAUAGAAUAAUGGUUUCUCUCCUCUUGUCUGCUGAUCAAAGCAUAUUCUGCACUUCAAAAACUCGGGGAGAUUAAGCUACAUGACAUAAGAUAUUAUGGAUGGCAUUAAUGGCCACUAUUCUAUUGCUCUGUGACAAAAGAUAUUGUGGAAUCUUGUACCAGGCCAGGGUGAUUAAGCCAAAGUUUUGAGUGUCAGAUAUCCAAUAGCUUUCGCUGCAUAAGCUGUCUCCCUUUGCACAUCACAGCUUGCCGUGGAUUAGGAAGCCAUGUAAUUUUUUCUAUUAACUUAAUCCUGAUUAGACUUCAUCAUUAAGCUUGUCUACUGUUACAAAAACUAUAGCUUCUUCCUUUGGGUUUUAUUGUAAGUUUCUUUUGCUGCUGCCAAGCUAAUAUCUUGUGUCACCACCCCAUCUCCCACAAGGGAUGCCCUAGUUGUGGGUGUCCCAAGGUCAGUAAUGGAUGGAGGAAGACCAAGAAAGAUACUGGUACCACCAUUCAUUCAGUGUAAAAUGGAGUUGUAGGAUCUAGCUGUCCUGCAAAUAAUUGAUCAAAAGCUGUUGGAUUUGUGUUCUUUCUCACUAUGUUGUUCUAGCAAGGACUAACACUCUUGUGCAGAUUUUUCUCAUCAACAGCACUGAGAACAGAUAUGAGAUGAUUUCACUGAACGAAGGUGUUUCUGACUGCAGAGCCAAUUAACCUAUGACCAACUGUUAGGUGAUUCAACUCUCUAGCUUGAAGUCUCAAGCUUUUUAGGGCAGCAAGGUGAAUGUGAUCUCCUACAUGAAUCUUUCAACAGGUAGCAAUAAAUCUUGCAUGAUGGUAGGAGAAGUGUGGAAAUCAAGCAGGGUGAUCUUAAUGCAAGAAACACUAGCCAUGUGGUCCAUCAGCUAACCAUCAUGCAUGUCUCAAACAACAUGAGCUGUGCUGAUUGUGGUCCAGAUAGAUAGAGAAGAUGGUGAGGGGAGAUGGGAGGGGUGUGUGAUACAGUCAAGGUGUUAUUUUUGUAUUCUAGUUGGUCCAUGGGUUGGUCAAUUGUUUCAUCAGAAUAGAUUGAUGACCAACCAAAACCAACUGAGAAAGGAGACAGCAGGAUGAAACACAAUGCCUCUUCUAUUUGGUGUAGAGGCAACCAGUGCCGUGCUGAUGUGGUGGGCAAACAGGAGCCUCAGGACAAGACUGCUGCCGACCUUCGAUGCAUGCAACCCUUCUCUGCUCAAAACCAUCGAACCAGAUGGCCAUUAAUGCAUGACAAAGUGAGCCUGUGGAGCCUCCUGCUCCGAAGCCUGAACUACUUGAUUGAUCUCCAUGGUUGAUGCAGCUCGAAACCAUCACUCCCUUUUUGUUAACUUGCACUGCUGAAUUCCCAAUGACAAGGUUUAGGAUGAGCUGUGAAUCUCAGCUAGGAGUAGCAGCCAUGAUGCCCUGUCUCAGGCCAACAUGCUGUUUGUUAAUGCUCAAGACAGAUGAUGCUGCUUGAUGACAUUGAUGAUCCCCACAUGUUGAGGGUACCUAAAGAAUCUUACACCCCAGCAAUCUUAUGAGUUGACACAGAAAAAUGAAAUCUCACUAAAACAGGAUUAAUAUGUUGGGGAGAUAGAUCUCAAGAUUAAGUGUGAUAGAUAGAAGGGGAUGCAAGAUGAACCUGGUAAGUUUCUUCUUAUGAUACCCACACAUACAUACAUGCCUAAUAACUGUAAGAAGAUUGAUUCCUAUGUAUAUGUCGAUUAAGAAGAUUAGAACAUGAAGUCCAAACAAUUGAGACUUGGAGAAGUUAUGUGCUAAGCAAAAAAAAAAUAAUAUCCGACCUGCCGGAUUCGAACCAGCGACCUAAGGAUUUAACUGUAAGAUUCACCCGACUACAGUCCUCCGCUCUACCAAUUGAGCUAAGGUCGGUUUGUUGUCUAAGGGAGGAGUAGAAUAUAUUUAUUAUCUUGUAGACCUUCUUCUGGUCUCCACAAUCUCUAAUCCAUUAAUUCGUCAUUGGAUACAGAAGAAAACAACAGUAUUCGUGUAUAUAGAGACUGACAAAGGUCAGCAUACGUAGUCUUACUCACUCCUACAGACACAAAGAUUGUUUGGAUUCCUUGUGGUUCAUAGGAAGUUCCUUGGUUACCUGUCUCACGCACCAAUCGUAUAUCUGUAGGCACAGUGGUUGUAUAUGUUAAUGAAAUGCGAGCCAAUGUUGGAGUUCUCAUUCUGCUUGGAAACUGACGUCAACGCACGUUCGCCGGAGCAGCAUUGCCGUCGUACGUGUUGGUAGCGGCGCCUCCGUCGUCCACGGGCACGCUCGGGCAGCCGGCCAUCCCCUGCACCUGCUCAUGCGGCACCAUCGUCGGCAAAUCCGCCGGCCCCAUCGGGUGCUGCCAUGCAACCAAAACAGCGUCGUUUAUACUCGGGGUGGGUGGGCCGGCCGGUCGUCCGUCCGUCGAGGAGGCGUACCUGAAUCAGCGGGUAGGGCGGUGAGGGAAUGAGGGCGGACAGGAACUCCGUGGAGGUGUACCCCUGGUGCCAUGAUGUAUCGUGCUGGUUGCCGACGUGGCAUCCAGCCGCGCCGGGGUCCAGCUGCAGGCCCAUGCUCUGCGGCGCGAUCGAGUCGUAGAUCGCGUGUUCCCUGACACAUCAGCAUGCAUCCGCCGUCAAAAGUCGAUGCGUGUGUCCAUCGCUCAUGAGCGAGCAAAACCAUUGUGAGUUGUACCUGAGGUCCAUCAAAGGAUCGGACCCAACGAAGAUCUGGUGGCUGGGGUUCGACGCUCCCUCCGGGACCCACUGCACCAUCUCGUUCCCGUAUGGGUUGGGCAGUCGUUCCUGCUGCGGCUGCAGGUACAUCUGAACAAGAAUCGAAGCGUGGCACUUGCUUACAUGCAAAUAUAUCGAAGCGUGGGAAGAGAUAAAUGGGUGUGAUGUUGGGCAUGCUAUUAAUUACCUGCAUGCUUGUAGUUGAGGGAUCAUACGGGGACAGAUGAUUACUCAGCAAAUAUUCCUGCAAGCGUAAUAAAUGAGAACCAUUACUCCUCGGUAAACAUUGCUCGUGAAAGGAAACAGCAAAGGAAUGUGGACUGAACCUUUCUUGCCGUAACACGCUGCAAUGCUUCCAUGACGAACUUUUCGCAUGACUCGAGAUCAGUGAUGGAUGUGAAGCUAAGAGGAUCAGGUUCAAAAAACCUGUUCAUUCGGAAACAGCAAGGGGCCAAUUCGAUUACUCGGCAAAGGAGUGUGCCGAUCAAGAUCUUGUGAGUUGGGCAAUACCUUAAGCGUUGCUCCAUAAGCUGUAGCUGUUGUUGAUACCGACAAAUCUCCUGUUGAAGCUCCUGCAUGUAGAUAAGAGAUAGGAUUCAAUCGAGUGGAGUGGAGUGGAGUGGAGUGGAGAAAUAAAAAGAAAGAGAAUACGAGUUGUUUACCUCUGCGUUGGAGUUGACCACCCCAGGACUGAUUGAAUCGGAGAAGACAACUCUGUGUUAGAACGAACCAGCAAGAAGUGAAAGGAAAACAAGGAUUACAUAGCAUGAGAAUUACUUGACGAGGGCAGCCGUGUCGUUCUCGCACUUGAGCUUUUUCAAUGUGUUAAUCACGAACUGCAUGGAUGGCAAGUGCACAACGCGUACGUGUAUUACUCAUAUGAUAGGGAGAAGUAUGAUAAUCUAAGAGAGUUUUGAGAUGUCUAACCUCUCGAUUCUGGACCACCCUACAUGCCAAAGCAAACAAAUCAGUCUCAUGCUCAUCGAGAAUGUUAACAUGCAGGUAAGGUUUCUCGAAGAUCGAAAAGGAUUUAUGGCUUACCCUCCCCUAUCGUUCUCUGGGAGAUUCACGUAUCUAGCAAGUACGUCUUCGAUCCUGAAAGAAAGAAGGAACAAAUGUGUUCAUGAAUUGAUAUGUGUAUUUGGACGUGAUCAAAAUAGAGGACCUUCUUCGUCCGGAGAAAUGGCUGAGGCGUCCGGAGGGGGAGAACAUGAUGAGAGCGAUGUCGAUGUCGCACAGGACGGAUAGCUCGUAGGCCUUCUUGAUGAGGCCAUUUCGACGCUUGGAGAAGGUCACCUGGCGAUUGGUGUUGUUCUCUAUCCUCUUUAUCUGGAGCUUAACUCGACCCAUGAUCCAAGAUAAUCUGAGACACCAACAAAACAAGGAAUUCCCGAGAAGGCCGCACGUCUCCAAGGGUGCCGUGACAGGAAAAUAGCCCAGCAAAUCAAAAAGAAUACCAGAGAGAGAGAGAGAGAGAGAAGAGGGGGUGGCUUUGCGAGAGAUGUGGCGAGAGGACGAAGGAGAGAGAUUUUAGAUGCUGUUCUGCCGGGAAGCAUUCCUCCCCCACGACAACAACGGCUGGCUUCAAGCUGAGAACUUCUCUUUCGCUACCCGUUCGACCGCCACCCUUCUUGCACCACCACUGAUUGGAGCAGCAGUAGCCUAAACGGGUCCCAAGUCCCAAGUAAACGAAUCCAAUCAUAGUGCAGGUACGUCAGACGAGUAAUCCUUCAGUGGUACAAUAUUAUUUCCCUACAUUAACAGCUAAUAUUAUUCCUCUCUCCUCUUCCCUAAUAUAAAUAAUAAAUGGGAAUACAUUAAUUGUAAUGAAUUAUAUGUUUUAACUACGUUUAUAAGAUACAUGAUAUCAAUUUUGCCGUAAUUUCGAUCAAAUUUACGAAAGCUAUGCACUAACUUCACGCAUGUCACUUCCAUCACCAAAUCAUUCAAGAUGCUGGCUUCCAUUUCUCUCUCUCUCUCUCUCUCUCUCUCUAUAUAUAUAUAUAUAACUCGAUCUAUUCGAUUAAUCUCCCUUAUCUGCGCAAAAGAUCAUGCAACACAUGGAUUGAUUCCACGGUAUUUUCGCAAUCUAUUUCUAGCUAGACAGCAGCUGGAGAAGCUAUAAGAAGCUGCGUUGAGCUCUCUUGUUCGACUUGUUCAUAGCAAAGAUGGCGACCACAGCACGCUUUUCUGGUGCUAUUGCUGUUCUCGUCGUUCUCGGGAGCCUCUGUGGUCUUAGUCAACGUAAGUACGCAUGCUUCGGCUGUGAGCAUCUGCCACCGCGUCGUUCUCCGUUCGAUGAGCUUUCUUCCUUGUUUGCCUUUUUCUGCAGUGGUGGUAGCGGAAGAAGUUCAUCGGCUGGACGGUCAGCGCUCGGUUGUGGUCUCCGCGGACGAAGAGAAGGGGACCAAAAUAGUCAUCAUUCCAUGCGUGAAAAAGUGCCAUGAGAAUGACGAAUAUUGCUACUGUUGCAUAGCUGCCAAACACCUACAUUGUUAUCAGCAACUGGAGCAGUGUCAAGCGAACUGCGAAAGGUGCGAUCCCAAGUGUCCUCCCGCACCGCCGUCGAUGGAGACGCGUCCAUGACGAUCAUGGAGGACCGCCCUAGACUCUGUUACUCUGAGGGCCUUUGCUUUGGUCGAUUCUGCUUUGUGUUAGCAACAGUUCUGACAAUAAAAUCUAAGAGAAGAAAACUUCUUGAUGAAAAGCAGUGUUUAAUUUUGAUAACAGAUAAGAUUUCCUUAAGAAAUCUCUCUACUUUGUUAAGAGAAAUCUUCUAGUUUCAAUAGCAGAUAAGAUUUCUUCAACUAUACGAGUAAAUCUCUCUGUUGAGGAAAAUCCUCUAUUCUGUUGAGGAAAAUCCUUCCUUAUAGGAGAGGGACAUGUUAACGUAAUUACUAUAAUAAAGUUUUUUCAAUAAUUAUUCUUUAUCUUCUAUUCUUUCUAUCAAGUUUCACGUGACAUCGCCUGUUGCUUUUGAUCUCUCGAUUAAAGCGUCGAAGGCAACGUACUCAUCUUGUUCAAGGUGAACAUAUGAUCUGUAGGUCCAAUCUGCACGAUAUUGCCUCUAUGUUUCCACGUCCUUUGAUAAGCUCAAAUAGCUAUUGUGUGAACAGUGUGGUAGCUGCUCUCUCCCUCUCUCAGUCUCCUGUUAGCUUCUCCUUUCCGCCCUUAACGAUGCUUAAGGGUCUUUAAGAAUUGUGUUUGUUCUAAGAUGCUUGUUCUAAGUAGACUGGUACGUGUUCCGAGAGUACACCUGCAUCCGUUACUGUCUUCAUGUCUGCUUCGAAGACAGCAACGUACAUGAUUCUCGCGUGCAUGCAUGUGAAGACAGGUUUCAGUCGCAGAACCCAAUGAAUUCUUGGCCACCAACAAAAUGGAAAAUAUUCUAUAUAUACUCCACCCUCACUGCGAUCAAGAAAGCAAACGAAGGAGAAAAAGAUGACAAUCUAAACGGAGAACGCAGGCGGCAGAUCUGAAGCUGAAAUCAGUCACUAUGUCUGCUCUGAAACCCUAUGGAUGCGAGUGCAAGUGAUCCCCACAGCUACAUAAUGGAGCAGGCAUUCGGGUUGUCAUCGCUGAAUAGAGAGGUAAGCUGGUCCUCCGGCCUGACCACUUGGCUGGAGACUGCAAUGACCUCCAUAUUCCUGACAUACCCAGGGGGUGCCUUCUUGUCGUAGGUUGGGGCAACGUACGGGUGGGCAACCAGGUUGUAAGGAACGUAAGGCCAGAGCUCAGCCUUCUUCCCUGUGGAUUGAACCCUCUUGAUCACCUUGUGUGGCUCAACAUAGCCCGUCACCGUCACCUUGUAUUGCUUUCUGUUGAUGUCCACCGACUGCACUCCUGGCAAGAACGGUGAGAACUGCAUUAGAACAUUGGUCGCACAGACAACCAUCGGAGGAGAAGAAGAUCGAACCUCUCAUGGUGGAGAGCGCAUUUCUAACUUUCAGCUCACAGCCCUCGCAGUCCAUCCUGACCUUGAGCUCCACCGUCUGAAACUGCUUCCUCUUCUUGUGCCUGCGGCCACUUCCCAGAAAGUUGGAGAAGCAUUCCAGGGUGCCUCCCAUGGUGCUUCUUUACAGCUGCUAGUUGGAGGCAGAGAGGUACCAAGAGCUUAAAGGAAAAGCUAGAAUGGAUGGUGAUGAUAGAAAGCUUUGGGAGCUGUUGUAUAUUUGAUCGGGAAAAAUGGAAAGACAGGCUGCUGCUUUGCCUCCCGGCAAUCACAAAGAAGGUCCCUGAAAAGGACCAGACACAGGUCUUCGUCGAAACGGAAACUACACUUGACGUGAUCUCUAGGCAGCAGAGGAGAAAAGAUCGAGCUCGAUGAGUGGUGUCACCAGAAAAAUAGCCGAAGAAGAAGAAGGAGAAGAAAAGAGAGAACCUCAACAAGAUAGUUCAUACGGCUAGCUCUUGAUGUUGGUUCGUCCUCAGAGGACAAAGGAAGCUGCCAUAGAUGCCUUUCCUUGGCUGCAAGUUUGUUUCACAUCGGCCCCUCCUUAUAUAGGCACCACCCACCGAAAAGACUCCUCUCACCAACCAUAGGUUCCACUGCAACAGUGCACGCACAGUGUGUUUAUUCUUGGGUUUGUGACCCUCCGUGACAGUGGAGAUCCUCAGUCGUUUAGCUACAAGAAAGCUCUUGGAACUGUAAAAACCCUCGGAAGAAUUCAUCCAAAAGCACCCCCUCCCCAUGCCCUGCAUAGAAAACAGAAGGUAAUAGCCGUGUGGUCCUUGCCAAGGACCAUGUGGUCGCUCUGCGUCCAUGCCAUCAGCUCUCCGGAAGGUGACUGCUGCCCAACGCCUGUCGUUGUUUGUCCGAUGGCACCUUUCCCUCAGGUCUUCGAAGCAUGGAAUUUUCCAUGUCCAUACAUCAUCAUAGAAGUAGGGAGUGGAUUUGUCAGUGUAAGCUGUCGACAAGCUGCCAUGGCAGGCAACGAUGUUCUGUAAACAUAUUGAACCACAUCUCUGGUCGUGCAGAAACUUCAGGGAAACCAAGUCCUCAGGAUCAUUUGUGUAGGCAUCAUCAUGUCAUAUGUAAUUAAAUAUCUCGGUCACUGGAGAUCUCCUGCUGCAAUUCUUCUGAUGCAUUGACUGUUGCCUGUACCAUUUUGCUGUGUGCAGGUGCUUUCGCUGUGUGCUUUCAGUGUGCAGAGUUUUGACCAUACGCGAACGAGUGGAAGAUUCUCAAAGCAGAGGCCAGAAAGCUGGGCUCACGAGAAAGGUGGCAUCACCAUUAAUGGAUUAAGAAUAUAAUGUCGCCACCUUUUGCUUUGACUCGGGGCUUUCUUGAUCUCCUCACAAAAGAUUUCGGCAAGAUGCCACACGCUGCAUCUAGUUCAAUCUUUCUUUGAUGCAUGAAAGCCUUCGUCUUCAAGGAAGUUGUUCCAGCUGCGUCCAACGCCGGCCACAAGUUGUGGUUCUUCCUAAAGCUUGGAAUAUUAGAACAUGGCCUUAAACUCCUUCACUUCAUCUUCUACUAGCACUUGAAAUGCUUUCUUUCUGUCAAAUUAUCGACAGAUAGUGAGGUGAAAUGAUCUUCUUCACGACAGGAGCAUUAUAAAAGCAGCAACAGAGUCGAAAGCUCAUGGCAACUCAUUCAUAGCUGUCGAAGAACAUUGCAACUGAAUGCCUGCGGAAACCAUGGCUGCUAAGUUGACGAGAACAUGGCCUUGGACGCGGAGACACAAGGCACAAAGCUAUAAGAUGGACCUCACACCACAGGUGGUAGGCCUAUGUAUGAUCCAAUCAUUGAACGGCAAAUGCAAUCAUUGAUACUGCCAUCUCACAGCAAACUGAUUUCAUAUCUCACAAUUCAGGUAGAAAGAUUACACUAGGAAACCUGAACCAUGUAAUAAAAGAAUGAAGAGACGAAUGCCUGAUGAGACAGGAGAUUAGUGGCAUGGAUAUGACCCAUCUACAAUGAAAUAAUUUCAUACACCUCAAUAGAUCUGCAAAACUCAUGAGAUAUAGUUCUUGGUUCAUGAUAUUAUACUCAUUAGAGAUAUCUCCUCAUUCUUCUGUCCACAGGAAUUCACACUGUUCCAGUGCAUCCAUGAAACUUCUACUGACUGUUGCUGCUUGCUGCAGUACCUCUUGAUCUUUCUAUUCUCAACCUGUCUUGCUCUUUUUCUUUUCUGGAAGUUUCCUGGCUUGAUUUUAAGGAUCUCACACCUUAUAGAAGAAGAUUUGCAACCCAAAAUUUUGACUAGGGAUGGUAGCAUCAACUCAGGUUAAAUUCAUUCAGCAUCCCAAGAGCACCUAUUGUUAUGUUGCCUUUCUGAAAUGCAUAAUAGUCGGUACAUCACCAGCCAGAGAGAAGCAAAAGAUUGAUGCUAAAUGUGAACAUGCAUGUUUUUGCUAAAAGAAUUAUAUUCAAAUGGAAUGGCAUUCGGAUUACAAAAGCUUAUAUCACCGGAAUAUCAAGUCUCUGAGGAACAUCAAGAUCGCGACACUUGCAUCUCCUACUCUGAUCAUGGUUCCAGAAUAAAAACUUGUACUGUUUCAUGUACACAUUUUUCAUGAAAACAAAGCUUACUGUAGUUAGCUGGAUCCUCACACAUGAUAAACAAUUACACAAUAUACUAUAUCAAGACCUGGAGUACCGCAAGAUCUAGUUCGACUUGAUGUCGUCUCCUUGCCCCAGCUUGCAUGGAUAACCAGUCAGUGCAUCUCUGGGUAUUCAACAUCAUAGUGUUGUGCCAAAAUGAUUCCGAGAUAAUUUCUGCACAUGCACUCUAUCCUUUCAGAGAGAGCCAUCAUGUUUCUUAUGAUUGUGCAGCUUAUCGUGGCAUUCUCAGCUACACGGAAAAUCAACUUGACACUAUGCAAGAAGUUGGAGGGCUUUCUAAUUGCCACUUGACAUCUCCACAUGCGCCAAAAACUGUCGCAAGGACAUAAUCAUCUAUGUAUAAUCCCUCUUCUUGCAUUCGGUACAUAAACUUUAAAGCUUCCUGGCAAAGCCCGUUUUUAGCAUAACCAAUGACCAUCAUCUUCCAAGAAACCAGAUUCCGUUCUUGCAUGGUAUCAAAGACUCUCAAAGCAUCUGAAGUGCAGCCACACCUCAUGUACAUAUCAAUCAGUGCACUGCCCACAAACACAUUUGACAGACUGCUGGUCUUACUCACACAGGCAUGGAGCCAUUUACCAGAAGUGAUAGCUUCCAGCUUCGAACAGGCUUUUAAAGCAGAAGAAUAUGUGAAGGGGUUUGGUUCCACACCUUCCAAUAACAUAUCAUUCAAGAAUUCCAGUGCCUCUGAGCCAUGGCCAAGACUGGUGAGACCCGAGAUAAUUGCAGUCCAUGAAAUGACAUCUUUUGCUGGCAUAGCUUCUAAAACUCUUGCAGCGUAAGCAUACUCCCCGUAUUUACAAUAGAACCAAAUGAGCGUGCUCCCAAUGUGAAUGUUUCCAAUGUCGGAAUUCUUUAUUAUCUGUGCAUGAACUUCUUUUCCAAGACAUAAAGAUCCUAUGGAACCACAAGCACUAAGAAUACUAACGACGGUAAGAUUGUUAGCAAAUACACGGCGCCUCUUCAUCCUUCGAAAUAAAAGAAUGGCCUCCUCUCCGAGGCCACAACGUGAAUAACCAGAUAUUAACGAAGUCCAUGUGAUUGUGUUUCUCUUCGGCAUCAUAUCGAAGACUGUUCUAGCAUCCAACACCUCAUCACACCUUGCAUACAUGUUAACCAGAGAACUCCCAACAUACACAUCUUCUUUGAACUUUUUCUUCACUAUAGCACCAUGCAGCUGCUUCCCAAACCUCAACUCCUUCAGUUCUCCACAAGCCUUCAGGAUACUACAAACAGUGAACUCAUUUGGAGAAAAACCCAGGUGCUGCAUCUCCUGAAACAUCGACAAUGCUUCAUAUCCAUGCCCACGUUGCACGUGAGCCGUGAUCAUGGUAGUCCAAGUAACAACAUCCUUGGAGGACAUCCUAGCAAACACUCUAGAAGAACCGAGAAGAUCACCGCACUCUGCAUAAAAGUACACAAGUGCGCUGUCUACAAUCUUGUUGCUCCAAUUCCCUUUGACAACACAAGAAUGAAUCUGUCUCCCAAGUUCAAAUUCCAAUAAAUUACCACAUGACUUCAACAAGCAAACAUACGUCAAGCUAUUAGCCUCGACAUGGCUUUCGAUCAGUGCCUCGAACAGACGCAGAACUUCGUCGUCAAGGCCCAUCUUAAGACACCCACUGAUCAUGGCCGUCCAAGAAACGACAUUCCUUCUGGGCAUUCCAUCGAACAGCUUCCUGGCUGCGACCAGCUCACGGAAUCUCACGUAAGCACUAAUCAGGUUGUUAACGACGAACGUAACAGAGGCAUCGGACGACCUGACGGCGGCCGCGUGCAAGCACUUGACAGCCUUCAAGUUGGAGCACGAGAGGAGGAGGGAAGAAAGCGUUCCGUGAUCGAACCUGCGAACGACGGCGGCACCCCGCGAGCUGUCAUCUGGGUCACGGGCGGCGGAAUAAAAAGAGUCGGGGAUUGGUUCGACGUCGGCGGCAAAAGAAGGGAUUUCGGUGAGAAGACGUAACGAUUUAAGCGGCAAGCUGUGCCGGCUACUCCUCUGAGAGGUGCUGCAACUUGCUGUGCGCUUGGUGGGGAGAAGAGGGUGCGGGUGGAGGAGGAUGUGAUAAGGUUGGAACAGAGGGAUUUCUAGGGAGGGAGAUGACAGCAGCAUCGCUGGCGGGGUUUGCUCCGACACAAAUUUGGCGCUCGACGGAGGAGAGUAUUGGGAAGAGAAAAGAAGGAUACACUACAACUGAAUCAAACGAAGGCACAACAUAUAUAUAUAUAUAUAUAUAUAUAUAUAUAUAUAUAUAUAUAUAUAUGUAAAUAAGGAUUUGACAGUUUCUUUAACGGGCUUAAUCCAGUCCAGCCCAGCCCAGCCCAUCGAUCUCUCGAGAACGCGUCCACGUCUCCUUGUCUAAUCCAACUAAAACUUGUGCUGACUUUAUUUGCCAGGUCACCAAUCAGGUUCGAAUGCCACCGUCAUCGUCUCGAUCUCUCGAUACGUUUCCACCGCCAUCCUCUCCGCUGCUCGCAACUUUACCUUCUCCAUCGGCCCGCAGCCAUGUUGUCCGUGCUUGUGGAUGUCGUCUUCUUGGUGUUGCUGCUGAGACUGCUGGUUCUUCUCUUCUCCAUGCGGUUCCUGCACCUGCUGCUGCUUUACCUGCUGAUCUGCCUGGUGUCCAUGAUGGCUUCCGCCUCGUUUCCCCUGAAGUAGGCAGGACCUCCGUUUCCAGAUGCUGAUGAUUCUGCAGAGAGACAGAGAGAGAGAGAGAGAGAGAGAGUGAGUGAAGGUAGGCUGAUGAGACAUCUGCCCUCUUUGUUGUUUAAUGCUUAGCAUGCGGUCUCUGUGGCUGUUGUCAGUGGGAAACGCUCCAUUUAUGGUCGUUUAUUCUGAAUGAAUUCUCCAUACACGAUCUAUAGUCUAUCACUCGAGCUGUGGCAUAGACGAUUUGAGAUCAUCAAAGUUAUGAUCUGCUAGUGAGGCGAGGCGUAACAUCGAACACUCGACGGCAAAUGAGUUGAUGAUGUACUCGACAUCAUCAAAAUAAGCUCGAUCUCCCCAAAAGAAAUCUCCAAA